GAAAUGCGAUAAGUAGUGUGAAUUGCAGAAUUCAGUGAAUCAUCGAAUCUUUGAACGCACAUUGCGCCCUUUGGCAUUCCGAAGGGCAUACCUGUUCGAGCGUCAGUUGCACAACUCAAGCACAGCUUGGUGAUGGGCGCCUGUCCCGCCUCCGCGCGCGGACUCACCUCAAAUCCAUUGGCGGCCCCCGCGUCGGCCACGAGCGCAGCAGAAACGCGAACUCGUGAGCCCGUCCGGGCGGCUCCCAGAAGCUACACCCACCCAGUUUGACCUCGGAUCAGGUAGGGAUACCCGCUGAACUUAAGC
This 306-nucleotide unclassified non-coding RNA is filed under the name plant metagenome. RNAcentral describes it as "partial contains 5.8S ribosomal RNA, internal transcribed spacer 2, and large subunit ribosomal RNA". The stretch from base 1 to 105 matches the Rfam family "5.8S ribosomal RNA", at positions 50 to 154 of the family's 154-position model. The record is from RNAcentral.